AGGACGAACGCUGGCGGCGUGCUUAACACAUGCAAGUCGAGCGAGGUAUCACCCUUCGGGGUGGUGUCCUAGCGGCGAACGGGUGAGUAACACGUGGGUAACCUGCCCUCAUCUCUGGGAUAACCCCGGGAAGCCGGAGCUAAUACCGGAUACGAGACCUGGUGGCAUCACUAGGUCUGGAAAGAACUUCGGAUGAGGAUGGACCCGCGGCCUAUCAGCUAGUUGGUGAGGUAACGGCCCACAAGGCGACGACGGGUAGCCGGCCUGAGAGGGCGACCGGCCACACUGGGACUGAGACACGGCCCAGACUCCUACGGGAGCAGCAGUGGGAAUAUUGCGCAAUGGACGAAAGCCUGACGCAGCGACGCCGCGUGAGGGAUGAAGGCCUUCGGGUUGUAAACCUCUUUCGAGCAGGGACGAAGCGCAAGUGACGGUACCUGCAAGAAGAAGGACCGGACCAACGUACGUGCCAGCAGCCGC
This 480-nucleotide ribosomal RNA is filed under the name uncultured soil bacterium. RNAcentral's name for it is "bacterial SSU rRNA". It matches the Rfam family "Bacterial small subunit ribosomal RNA", at positions 26 to 518 of the family's 1533-position model. The record is from RNAcentral.